Heterocephalus glaber (naked mole-rat) is the source of this 809-nucleotide non-coding RNA. The record is from RefSeq and is a predicted model, not a curated record. NCBI's taxonomy places the organism in Eukaryota, Metazoa, Chordata, Mammalia, Rodentia, Bathyergidae.
CCCUGACGCCCCACAACCAGUGCUCACUCGAACGGGGAAGUCAGCUACCACGCAAGGCAGUCGCGGAAGCCUCCCGCUGACACCCGGCCAAGGUGCCCCUUCUUUCCCCUUCCCAGGUAGGCAGAGACCCCAGGGCCUGUCCCUCGGAUUGGGGCGCACCCGGCAGCUCUGCAACUUACACCCCACGAACAGAAUAGAGAGCGUGGACGCGAAGGUCUAAGGCUCUUGGAGACACCACAGCGACCUCUGCACUACCGCCGUCCCUGAGCCUAGGAAGCUCCUCGGGCUGGCGGGUUCCCAACCACCAGGCACCCCGCACUCACCUGCAACUCCGAACCACAGCAGCAGCCUGCCCCAGCGGCCCAUCGCCCCUUCCGCGCCCGGCGGAGGCUGCGAGGUCAGAACUCGCCGCUGAGCGCCAGGCUGUCUGCUAGAUGCCUGAAGCCAGUCGACUACGCCCACUCCGGACGCGGGCAGAACCUCCUGGACACCCUGAGAAACAUGAACUUCUGGGCGCUGUCUCGUUAAUGCUGUGAACAAUUUGUGAUGGGGAAGAAGCCUAGAGCAGACGUCGGGAGAUCUGAGCAUCAGUGCUGGCGUGCCUGGUCACGGCUGAGGUGCAAGGCUGAACAGACCUCUCUGCGCUGAGAUGGAAACCCCACCACCUUUGAGAUACGCUGCGCCUAGGCAACCGGAAGGGCUAGUUUCCGCCUUUGUUUUGUCCCUGGUCCUGCAGUGGGAUGGCGGUGUAAGACAGCUAUGCACCAGGCUGAUGUCUGACUUCAUGUCUUGGAGCACAGGUAGUGGAA